UUCUUCGGAAUGAGUGGCGCACGGCUGAGGAACACGUGACUAACCUACCCCGGUGUGGGGGAUAACGGGUCGAAAGACUCGCUAAUCCCGCAUACGAUCCGCCUCGGCGGAGGAAAGCCGUAAGGCGCACUGGGCGGGGGUCGCGUCCCAUUAGGUAGUUGGUGUGGUAAUGGCGCACCAAGUCGAUGAUGGGUCUCUGGUCUGAGAGGACGACCAGACAGGUUGGGACUGAGACACGGCCCAAACUCCUACGGGGGGCAGCAGCAAGGAAUUUUCGGCAAUGGGCGCAAGCCUGACCGAGCAACGCCGCGUGGAGGAUGACGGCUCUUGGGUUGUAAACUCCUUUUGGGGGGGACGAUAAUGACGGUACCCUCCGAAUCAGGCCCGGCUAACUACGUGCCAGCAGCCGCGGUAAUACGUAGGGGCCAAGCGUUGUCCGGAAUUACUGGGCGUAAAGCGUGGGUAGGUGGUCGGUGAUGUGCCGCGUGAAAGCGCCGGAGUAAUGCCGGCGAGGUCGCGGUAGACACACGGACUCGAGGCUCGCAGAGGAACGUGGAAUUCCCGGUGUAGUGGUGAAAUGCGUAGAUAUCGGGAGGAACACCAGUGGCGCAAGCGGCGUUCUGGGCGAGACCUGACACUGAGCCACGACGGCGUGGGGAGCAAACAGGAUUAGAUACCCUGGUAGUCCACGCAGUAAACGAUGCAUACCAGGUGUGGGAUGGCGUUCGCGUCGUUCCGUGCCGCAGCUUACGCGAUGAGUAUGCCGCCUGGGGACUACGAGCGCAAGCUUAAAACUCAAAGGAAUUGACGGGGGCCCGCAC
Molecule: ribosomal RNA, 821 nt
Filed under: uncultured bacterium
Lineage: Bacteria
Description: bacterial SSU rRNA
Rfam family: Bacterial small subunit ribosomal RNA
Source: RNAcentral